CCUCUAAGACAGGGGUCGGGUGGGAGACUUACAUCAUCAGUUUAGUGGUUGGGACCCAAAACCUACAGACACAAUGCUGAUGUUCUGAGUGCAGGAGGCAAUUGGAGAUUUUUUCCACCUUUCCUUGAGAAACAAAUGCAUGCCUCAUGCAGCAGAUCAAGGUGGUGACUGUAUUUGCCAGCGUACCAGACACACAACUGCGUAAGGGAAAAGGAAUUUCUCCUGGAGCUGAUAAUUUCCAACAUGUUCAGCAACAUUUGUCUCUUGGGCUUCUGAAUAAGACCAGGAGGCAUAUGGGAUCUUAGCACGCUGACCAGGGAUCCAAACUGCACUGGAAGUUUCAACCACUGGACUGCCAGAGAAGUUCAUAAAAUGGUUGCUUUUAUAGUUUUGUGAAUUUUACCUCAAUUAAAAAAAAAAUUGCAUAAACACUGAAUCAUUUCUAAAUGUCCCGAAGGGCACGGCAGUGCUAUAUUCCAGGGCAGCCCCAGAGUCAAGGUCCCAUGGCACCUUGUACUGCACCUUUGGAUCAAGACUGGAGUCCCCCCAUGUGUAAGCAAGACCUCCAAGUGUCCUCAGAGACACUCAGCUGAGCACUAUUACCAACCAGCUGAGUGUGUGUAUUUUGGUUUGUUACUUCACUGGCUGAGUCCUUAACAAGGACUUCUGAAGGUGCUUAGUUUGAUUAAGGAUUUGAUAGUUCCAGAGGUGGAGCCUGGAGCAGGCUUUAUUUUUUCCUUUAAACCAGGGGGAUCUUCGCAGAGACAACAGCUCACAGCCUGCGGAUGGCGCCCCAGAUGCUCUCCUGGGCCAUCUGACUGUCCACUGGGACCCGUGGGGAGGAAGGAGGAUGAUCCCAUCCCAGAGGGCAGAAUCGGGGGUCAGUUUCUCUCCACUCCAGGCAGGUCCAGAAAAGGAGAAGACCAGUUGUGAAGAAGGGCGGGUGGACUUGUCCUAACAGCUCACAGUGUCUCAGGAAACAGUCCUUUUGUUGUGUCAGGGGAGGAACAGACUCGUGAACAAGGGCAGCACUUGAUACCUUUCCUUGUGCCUUCACAUAUACCGUUUCAUUCACUAGCCUAAGAAACAAACAUAGCUACCACCUUGGAAAAUAGCAACUCCGGGGGAAAUUCCUGUUCCCUUAGCCAGCAGUGGUCCAGUGAGCAAAGAAAGCCCAGUGACAAGCAUCCACUUGGGAAACUCUAGGUCCUGGGAGUUCCUCACCAAGAUGCCUUUCCUGGGAGAGAACCCCAUUCAGUCCAAAGAACUCCAACUCUGUUAGAAAUGUAAUCGACAGCAUUUACCAUCAAGCCAGAUCACUGAACCAGUUUGGACCAAGACAGCCUAGACUCAGCUGGAAUUGCAGAAUUCCCCAACAGACCCUGUUAGAACCCAGUGAAGGUGGCCCCUUAUUGUUUUUCUCAAUUAAAAAAAAAAAAAAAAAAAACAACCAAAACUAAGAAGCUUUCUGCAUGCUUUUAAGGCAUUUACAGCUGCCCAGAGAAGCAGGACUACUUAUGACUCCACUUAAUAAGCACCUGGCAAUCACCAACCUCUCUAAUUGCCAUGUGGGUGAAGAGGUGGGAAUUCAAACAAACGAAGGAGAUUUCGAAGUGUUACUGGAAGAUGAAAAAUGUGACGGAAGCGCCUAGGCAUGAGAGGCAAGCAGAGACACAUGCUUCUCUCAGGGCAGCAUAACCCAGAAAGCCGACUGAAGCUGAUGUGAACAUUCCCAGCAUCUGCCUCCUGGACACUUACACCGAAAAGAGCCGCAUCAACUGCUCAGAAAAAUGCAGGUACCACUGAGACACCCCAGGUACCAUGGCCUGUGUUGUUUCCUCAGGCAAAAGUUGUUGCUGGGAGACCCAGUGCCAAGAGUUUUGAAUGUCCGGUUCCUCACACCCCAGGCCUUCUCAAAAGGGAAAGGAGAUAAAACAUGGGGGUUCCCACAGCACUAUCAAUACCCUCCCCCUUUACAGAGAGGAAACUCUGGUUCAGAGAGAUUACAAGUAGAGAGGCAGGGCUAGGAUUCAGAGUGCCCGUAACUCUCACAGUCCAGAGCUCUUGGGUCCUCCAAGGAACGAGGCCUUCACUCUGGGCUCCUCUUCCGCAGGUUAGGAGUGGUAACUCAGUGCCUAACAUUCAGCUGCUGCCGACCAUCCUGACUGCUAACUACUCACACGUGUGCCUCCCUAGAGCACCCAGGACAGACACUCUCAUUUACCCCCGGCUUCCUGGGCAGGGUCCAGCUGACACUUCUCAGUGUUCCACACCCACCAACCUGUGUCUAUUCAAAAAGGACGUCGGGAUGUGAUUGUCCCACUUAUGUACAUGCCUUGGUUGUUUCCAGAGGCCUGCGUAUGACCUCAUGCAACCACCUGGACCCUCUGAGCAAUACCUUAAAUUGGCUUUUUGAAGAUUCUCAAGUCCCCAGAGUCAAUUUUAUUGAAACAAAAUACAAAGUGCCCCCAGGAAGGGACAGCCCUGUGAACUGUUAGUGGCUAGCAUUUGGCAGUACGUGGCAGCUAGCUGAGAAUCAGGCCCUAAGAAGUGGGAAAUGGGACUGGGAGGGGUUGGAGAGGGUAAAGAGAAAGAAGCAUGAGAAAGGAGGUGGGGAAGGUCUAGGCAGCCCACCCCCAGCAGCUCACCUUCUAAUUUUGCUGUAAGAGAUUCCCAGGGAGCUGUUCCCUGCUUCCCCAUUCCCAACAGAAAGACCAACUCUGCUCACGGAGCCAAAGGUAGAAAAGCCUAGAAGGAAAAAAAGAGAAGCGACAGAAAAGAUAGGAAGAAAAGACAGAAUAAACCAACCAUCAGAGGCUCUUCAAUCUUAAUUCAUUUUAUUCUACAAAAAGCUACUCAAUUGAAAGUGAAAAAGCUAACAAAAAAAAAAAAAAGGAAAAAAAGUUGUAAUAUGUUCUUUCUUCCAUAGCAGCAAGCUUUUUCUAACAAGCUUUCUUUAGUGCAAAUACUGUAGGCUUGUAUUACAGUAAAAUAACAAAACAACAACAAAACACCACCAGAGAUGCUUCAGAGC
Molecule: long non-coding RNA, 3034 nt
Organism: Bos taurus (domestic cattle)
Lineage: Eukaryota; Metazoa; Chordata; Mammalia; Artiodactyla; Bovidae
Source: Ensembl